CCUCUGCGUGCGCGUGUGCACCGUGAGGUCGCUGUGAAAACAUGACGUGGGUUUAUGACAAGGUCUACACAGAGCUUGGUUUGAGACACCCUCCGCGCGAGCCCCGAGGCCUCCCGCCAGGGCGAACCAAGAGCGAACCGCGUCUCCUCUCGCUUCGCCGAUCCGACACGCGACGCACUGCCAACAGGACGCAGGGGGACUAUGCAAUGUGAAUGCUUGCAGCUGUUAAGGCAAGAAGGGAUGGCGGUGAAUAGGCAGGAGGUGAAAGCAGAAGGGAGAAGUAAAAUGUAUGGAUAAGAGGACUGAACAAUAAGAAAAGCAAGAUGUCAAACGACCUGGUGCUGAUACUGUACUAACUAAAAUACCUCUUAUAUCA
This is a long non-coding RNA of Penaeus monodon (black tiger shrimp), 376 nucleotides long. RefSeq lists it as uncharacterized. Lineage: Eukaryota; Metazoa; Arthropoda; Malacostraca; Decapoda; Penaeidae. The transcript is spliced from 2 exons. The record is from RefSeq and is a predicted model, not a curated record.